AGGGGCAGCGCAGUGUAGCAAUACAUGGUGCGGCGACCGGCAAACGGGUGCGGAACACGUACGCAAGCUUCCUUUAAGUGAGGGAUAGCUUUCGGAAACGAAAAUUAAUAUCUCGUAACAUUAUGAAGUGGCAUCACUUUAUAAUUAUAGCUCCGCGCGCUUAAAGAUGGGCGUGCGCCUGAUUAGGUAGUUGGCGGAGUAACAGUCCACCAAGCCUACGAUCAGUAACUGGUGUGAGAGCACGACCAGUCACACGGGCACUGAGACACGGGCCCGACUCCUACGGGAGGCAGCAGGAAGGAAUAUUGGUCAAUGGACGCAAGUCUGAACCAGCCAUGCCGCGUGGAGGAUGAAGGUCCUCUGGAUUGUAAACUUCUUUUAUCGGAGAAGAAACCCCAAUUUUCUUGUUGGGUUGACGGUACCCGAUGAAUAAGCACCGGCUAACUCCGUGCCAGCAGGCGCGGGAAUACGGAGGGUGCAAGCGUUAUCCGGAUU
Molecule: ribosomal RNA, 495 nt
Filed under: uncultured Niastella sp.
Lineage: Bacteria; Pseudomonadati; Bacteroidota; Chitinophagia; Chitinophagales; Chitinophagaceae
Description: bacterial SSU rRNA
Rfam family: Bacterial small subunit ribosomal RNA
Source: RNAcentral